RNAcentral lists this ribosomal RNA (712 nucleotides) under uncultured prokaryote. Its description in RNAcentral is "bacterial SSU rRNA". It matches the Rfam family "Bacterial small subunit ribosomal RNA", at positions 28 to 758 of the family's 1533-position model. The record is from RNAcentral.
GAUGAACGCUGACAGAAUGCUUAACACAUGCAAGUCGAUUCGAUUUACCUUCGGGUAUUGAGGAUGGCGGGCGGGUGAGUAACGCGUAAGGAACUUGCCUCUUGGUCUGGGACAACUGUUGGAAACGACAGCUAAUACCGGAUAUUAUGAGAUUCUCGCAUGGGAAACUUAUGAAAGCUAUAUGCGCCAAGAGAGAGCCUUGCGUUCCGUUAGCUAGUUGGUGGGGUAACGGCCCACCAAGGCGACGAUGGAUAGCCGGCCUGAGAGGGUGAACGGCCACAAGGGGACUGAGACACGGCCCUUACUCCUACGGGAGGCAGCAGUGGGGAAUAUUGGACAAUGGGCCACAAGCCUGAUCCAGCAAUUCUGUGUGCACGAUGAAGGUCUUCGGAUUGUAAAGUGCUUUCAGUUGGGAAGAAGAAAGUGACGGUACCAACAGAAGAAGCGACGGCUAAAUACGUGCCAGCAGCCGCGGUAAUACGUAUGUCGCAAGCGUUAUCCGGAUUUAUUGGGCGUAGAGCGCGUCUAGGCGGAAAAAUAAGUCUGAUGUUAAAAUGCGGGGCUCAACUCCGUAUUGCGUUGGAAACUGUUUUUCUAGAGUACUGGAGAGGUGGGCGGAACUACAAGUGUAGAGGUGAAAUUCGUAGAUAUUUGUAGGAAUGCCGAUGGAGAAGUCAGCUCACUGGACAGAUACUGACGCUAAANCGCGAAA